AAGCCGUGUGAUGAGCACAUAGCAAACUAUUAUUUCGUCUUUUACUAAAAAAAUACCAUAUGCGUAUCACUUAUAGCAGCAUACACUUAUUUUUUAAAGAGCUCUCUAUAUCGAGGGCU
Molecule: non-coding RNA, 119 nt
Organism: Medicago truncatula (barrel medic)
Lineage: Eukaryota; Viridiplantae; Streptophyta; Magnoliopsida; Fabales; Fabaceae
Source: Rfam